CCUACGGGUGGCAGCAGUGAGGAAUAUUGGUCAAUGGGCGCGAGCCUGAACCAGCCAAGCAGCGUGAAGGAUGACUGCCCUACGGGUUGUAAACUUCUUUUAUAAAGGAAUAAAGUGAGGCACGCGUGCCUUUUUGCAUGUAUUUUAUGAAUAAGGAUCGGCUAACUCCGUGCCAGCAGCCGCGGUAAUACGGAGGAUCCGAGCGUUAUCCGGAUUUAUUGGGUUUAAAGGGAGCGUAGAUGGGUUGUUAAGUCAGUGGGGAAAGUUUGCGGCUCAACCGUAAGAUUGCAAUUGAAACUGGCAGCCUUGAGUACGGUAGAGGUAGGCGGAAUUCGUGGUGUAGCGGUGAAAUGCAUAGAUAUCACGAAGAACUCCGAUUGCGAAGGCAGCCUACUAGACUGCCACUGACGUUGAGGCUCGAAAGUGUGGGUAUCAAACAGGAUUAGAUACCCCAGUAGUC
This 460-nucleotide ribosomal RNA is filed under the name uncultured bacterium. RNAcentral describes it as "partial 16S ribosomal RNA". It matches the Rfam family "Bacterial small subunit ribosomal RNA", at positions 338 to 795 of the family's 1533-position model. The record is from RNAcentral.